Long non-coding RNA from Aquila chrysaetos chrysaetos, 7411 nucleotides. RefSeq lists it as uncharacterized. The record is from RefSeq and is a predicted model, not a curated record. The transcript has 13 exons. NCBI's taxonomy places the organism in Eukaryota, Metazoa, Chordata, Aves, Accipitriformes, Accipitridae.
GUUUAUUUUCCACAAGGCAAGCUAAGGUUUUGUAUUUUUUUUUUUUUAACUUAUAAGGAAAGGGAGGAAAUUCCUCCUCCUCCCUUCCCUGCCCAUACAUUUCCCUCGUUCGUGAGUCUUUAGAAGGCUAUGAAACUGCACCAGGAACAAACAAGGACUUUCUUUAGUGAAUAAAUAUUUACGACAGCCAACUUGGAUACCUAAGGCUGAGGCUGAUUUCUCUGAAACAUGCACCAGAAACUCUCAGGGCUUGAUCCUGCCCGGACUGAAACAUGCCUCCUGGAGCAGCAGCUGCUCCUCAUAACACAUGUCUGAAAUCUUGAGCAGGACCACAGAGCACUUUGAUGGAACUGGGUUGGCCAGUUUGUGCUGGCUGCCUCUGUUUUCUGUGCACUCAGAUGUUUUGGCCGUGGCUUGGAAGCCCAGCCCUGCUGCCACAUGAAAGCUCACAGAGCCAGGAAGGAUCUCAUCACAUUGAGAAACUGAAUUCGUAGCAGAGCUGGAAAAGCCUCUUGGUUCUGACUCAAAACGUUUCUAGAAUGGGGUUUCAGGGCUUACGCUGGAAGCGGUUUGCUGCAGUCAAGCUGUGCAAGAUAAUAACUUCCUCUUACAAAAGCUGUACCAUCCUACAUGCAUUUCAAAUUACAUUUUAUGGACAAACAUUGAAGUACAGUUAUUGGCAGUGCAUGCAAUUGCAUAUAUUUAUAGUAAUCAAAUUCUAAGGUAUGAGAGCCAAGAAGUAAGUUGGUUGCCAUUUUCUUAAUCAUGUAUUUAGUUGACAAUGUAGUUAGUUCUGCUAAAGCUUAAUGAAGUUUGCAUUGUGAUAUUGUGAUGUUUAUGAAGUAAGUUAUGUGGUAUGCUUAAGCAUGCUAUAAAAACAGUUAUAAAAAUACAAACUCUUCCUUUAACUUGCCACAAUAAGUAAAAUCUGAAAUCACUAGAAAGGAUAAACAUCUAUUGAUAUAUAGAUUGGAAAAGGAAUCUGGACAUCUCCAAAUAAAGAAGACAGAUUAUUUUUAUUAAGUAGGACCGAGAAAUCGUAUCUUGUCUCUUUUACCCAUACUGCCACAGGCUUUAUGCAAUUCAUUGACCCUUUUGGAGCUUCAUCUCCCACAUAUACAAUACAUCACAAAAGGACUGUGAGAUGGAGUAGUGCUUGUAAGAAAUGUUGAGACCUUCUUUUGGAAGGUACCAGAAAAGGCCUUGUUUAUGUGUUUGGUUCAUUUUGGUUGGGAAUUUAAGGUGACAUAGCCAUUUCUGGCAAUCCUCCUGUGGGUGCUCUUCCUCUGGAAUAAAACUGCCUUACCAGAAAUGGUCUGGAUCCACUCCACUAACUUGUGUUUGCUUCUCUGGCAUAUACUAAAGUGAAGAAACAUGGGAUAUCCAUAAUCCUCUGUUUAGAUGUAGCAUCUGUUAGCAUGGACAGCUCAGGAGAGCAAGGAGCAUUGCCUGAGGUAAGCAUUUAGUUUUCUUUCCAGUUAAACAUAUCCAUGCCUACUUUGCUGCAGAGGAACAGUUUCCUCACGUCACUCACAUGGGCUUGACUUGUCCCAUACUUUUUUGGCAUCUCCAGUAAGAUUUAGUGUAUUCCCUAAUUCCACUGCUCCAUAUAAAAGUUUCUCAGUGACAGCUCUUUUCUGAGACAUUUUAACCACUAUCUGGCUUCCUCGUACCCUUUGCAAAGUAUUGUGCUCUAUUGCUAACGUAGUCACCAUGCCUUUAAACAAAACCCCACCUAGCACUGAGGCUCUGUCUGAGCUUCCCGGCAGAGCCUGGGAAUGUGCCUCCCUUGGCUCACAGACACUUUCUACAGCAUCUCAUCCCCAGCAGUCACAUGAGCAGUCCUGCUCCAUUUUCUCUGUGAGCUGACAGGACUUCGACCAUCAGAUCAUCAUGUUUAGGAGGUGCUUUGGCAGUCAGCUGUUGGAUGCUCAUGGGAGCAUGUCUGCAGCCAGCACAUCUCCUCUUAGCUUGUAUGUAGCUUGCAGAGUUGAAGCUUGCAGCUCAAAAAAUCAUCUUGCUAUUGUAUUUUCUCCCCUCAGUACUGUUACAAACUGUGCCCUUUCCCAUGUGGUUUUUUUUCAUGCAGACAUUUUUCACAUGCUUUCUCAGAUCACCUCUGGAAACCUUCUUUACCUUCUUAUCUACUUUGCUCUGUAUCAGGUUUUCUGGGAACACCAUGGUUUGUGAAAUAGCUUAACGUGAAAAACGGUCCCACUGGCUUUCAGGCUGAAUCCUUUUGUUGACAGUAUCUGGAGUAUCCAUUGCUCUGAUAACUAAUUCCUUGUUGCUCUUCUAACACUGUGCUCAGAUCACUGCACAAACAUUAGACCCAUUUGCUGCUGUAUGCCACUCUUUGUGGACCCUGAUCUUGGGCUUGACAUAGUUUUAUGCUUUGGGUCCCUUUUCUGGCUAUUGCCUGGUAAAUUUGAAUUGCAGAAAAAAAGAGUGAAAGUCAGUUCCAAGUCUCUGGGCAGUCUCCUGCUCUGAGCAUCUUGUCCUGGAAUUGAUCCCAUCCUGCUCUCUGAAAAGGUAAAUGGCUCCACUCUGCCAGAGUGCAUCUAGAUGGCCCAGUGGGAGCACAGGAGCUGAGUGUCAUCUUUGAAAGCCUGGCUAAGGAGCGGGUGAUGGAGCUUGCCACAUGAAGAGUGGUGCUGGCACAAAGUCAGGGGCUGUGCAAUACGGCGCCAGAGUGGGAAUGGACACCACAUUCGGGAAAACACCCAAAGUUGAUUUUGCUGCAUGUUUUACAUCAUGGACCCACGGCCUGUGCCAAGCUGAUCUGCACUCUCUCUUCUAAGGUGAAGAAAAGUCUCCAUCCUCUUAGCAGCUUCCAGCAUUCCUGGCCAUGUCAUGCAGCAGGAUCCAAGGGCUUUUUGACAUCACUGGGAAAAAAUGAAUCCUCCCUUCUAGUGCUUUCUGCAUUUCUGUUUCUAUGCUCUCUGAAGUCACCGGUCUGGAUACUGAAGUGUAUGUUCUGCUUUGGCAGCAUGUGAGGGAUUUACAAGAGGAGCAAACUCUCCAUUUUGCUGAUGACCUUGGGGAAAUGGGAGUGGACGGCAGGUUGCUGCUCAUUGUCAGAGAGUUCAUGUGUGCCUCCCCAGGGCAGCACUGGAUCAUCAUGCUCUGGCUUGUCAGAACGGGCUUGCUUGCUGGCUCGGACGUGGCCAGAGGAGACGCUGGUGCAGAGAUGCACUCAUCAGCCAGCAGCUCCUCACUUGGGGAUGUCUCACGUGGACCUGCUGGGAGCCUGGCUCCCACCUGGCUGCUGCAGCUCAGUGUCACUCUGCACACCUUGACUAGGACAUCUAUAAGGAAAGCGAAGGAGAUGUGGCUGUUGCACAACCUCCCUGGCCAGCGUGGACACUGGACUGGAGACCUGGGGCCCUGGCCUCAUUUUUAACUAGGGCGAAGCUGCACCUUGUGUGAAAAACAUGCAAAGUGCAACCUUGUUCCUAUCUUGUGACCUGAAUUGCCAGAUGCAGCAGCCAUGGAGAAGUGGACCACUGAACACGACCUUGCCAGAAGCAUUAGGCUCAUCCCAGGAAGCCACCAACAGCCUGCAUAAUAUUGCAUAUAAAGUUUCGAAGGACUUGUGGGAAGGCAGGGGGAAGAGAAGGCUUUGGAGAUCCUUAGAGGACUAGUGGAGCUGUCAUGGAUGUGAGGCUGUGAUUUGCAGCUCCCGAGCUGCACUUGGGCUCAACAGCGAUUCAACUGCAGAAGCUCAGCUCAAGGGAUAAUGUCAGAAAAUUGUAACCUGAGAAAAGAUCCCUUGAACAACGCUGUCAGGCACUGUGCUGCUGGUCUUUGUUCAUCCCUCCUCACCGAUUUGUUUACACUGGAAUGGAAAGCAUCAGCUACAAGUUACAACAUAAAACCACCAAACCCUUGAAGAUUAUGUGAGAGCUAUAGUUUGAUGAGCCAUUAAAUCAGCCAACGACAGGACAUGGGGAGGACAAAGCCUGUCCUAAGUGACCACCGAUGGAGCCAGCCCUAUUCAUGGAUUAGGGCUGCCAUGGAAACUCGGUUUGCAGAGCUCACCACAGCAAACACGGAAUGAAUGGCCAGAGAAGUCUUUUCUGUGUCCCUGAAUGCAAGAUGAGUUGAGCUUUAAAAAUGUACAUUCAGUUCUUGUACUUUACAUAUCCAAAAACCUGGGUUCUGGGAUGCCUUACAUCAGCAACUCCAGCAACAGCGUCUCUCAAACUGCCCAAAGAGGACAGGGGAAACCAGCACAAGAAAAAUGUAUCUGUGAAGCAGAGUUGCCUGGGAGGUCUCCUAGCAGGAUCCUUCCUGAUGCUGGAGCAGGAAGAGAAGCUGCAUAAGUGAUGUGAUUGAGUUUCCCCUUCGUGGUGCUGGUAUGUGUUUCGGAGCCUCGGCAGUGACUGCUGUGAUGAGUCCUGCUCGUCCUGCUCGAGCAUCGAGGGAGGGCAACCGUGGAGGAGCAGCGGAGGCUCACCCUGCCUCAGGCUACUUCGGGAUGCGCUGCUCCUCCCUGGAAGAAAAAAGCUAUUCAACCUCCCAUGGAAGCUGCUCUCCAGGACCAGAGCCAGCUGCGCUAUACAAUCUCUCCUUCUAGUUCUUGUAUCUUCUUUCCUUGGAAGUUUCAGCCACCACCAAUCACAGUAACUUCUGGCAAAGUCUCUAGUGCCACUUCCUCAGGAUGGAGGAGACUCAAGACGAGACGAACCAGCUGGUGUUUGCUGGCUGUAUAUGACUGCAUUGUCCUCAUUUUAAAACUGGACCUUGUCUCAACCACAGGUGCUUCUAGCAGGUGCCUUAAAGAGCAUUGAGCCAUCCUCUUGGAGGAAAAUCUAAGGUCUUCUCAAACACACUUUGUUUUACUGCACUGAACAUGAGGCUCAGCAGACAUGAUUGUUGGCAAUGUGCUGAAAGACAAAAGAAAAGGUGGCUAUGAAAAGCUGUAGCAUCUGGGAUCCUGUUUACAAACUGCAGGCAGCCUCCAGCGUCUGGCCUCAUGGGGAAAAAGGCAAUCUGAACAUUUUACACCCCAGCAGCCUCCCUGCAGCAAACAGGCAUGAGCCCACAAGGAUUUAAAUACAGAAGUUUCUGAUUUUCACCUGCCUCUAAUUCCUUAAGACUAAACUUUGUUCUACUCAUACAUGUGUCGUGCUGGUGCUGUAGAGCUGCUCUUUUUUGGAGGACUAAACACAGCAGCACUCAGGAUGUGUCCUGGGCCUGUCCUCUAUUUGAUAAGGUACAAAAACAUCCUGCUGCCUACUCUGUUAAGGGCUUGUUUCUCUGUGAAAAUCCUUUCUCUUAAUCCUUGGUUUAUGACUGUCUGAGAAAAUAUUCUAAUGAGCACUGAAAUGCUGAAUGGGACUCUCCCUCGAGAGGGAUGCUGCUGCCCUGAUGCUGCAGUCCCUGUGCCGUGCCCUUCUCACACCCUGACUGCUUCACGUCAGGAAAUCCUGGCUGAAAAGGGGAGUCUAGUCCUCAGGAGAAGAACAAAACCUGAAUCAUGAAGUGCUCUUAAUCUCAUAGUAAAGUUAAUUUAUAUUUUCCUUUUGUCCCACUUAGCUCCUGAGUAUUCAAGUGACCUCUGCCUCUAAACAUUGAACAUUUCCAUUUUCAUUCUAGCAUCCCCAUGUCAAAGACACAAUUGAGCUUUCAAGGGAAAUCUGAGAAACAAAGCAAAAGAGAUAAUGGAGGCUUCUGAAGAGGUGGUGGUGACAGCCCAACCGGCUUCAGUGCAUUUGAGUCCUCCCUAUUGAGAAUUUUUCUCACCUUCACAUAAAGGGCCAGUAUCUGUUACAGCCACAUGUGUCGGCUCUACAGAUGCACCCUGUUGAUUAGGUGAACUUUGUGUACCUCAUCUUGGUGGUGUUCAGAAGCCCAGACACAGACAAGAUGUUCUUAUUACUCAUGCCUCCCCUACUCAGGUGCUGUGUGUCGCUCUUGUAACUCAACCCCUAAAGAUUUAGCACUGAAGACCCCAUCCUGUGUGCAUCUACCACCAGCUAUAAUGCUGGUUAUUGUAAGCUUCUCUGUGGUUGCGAUGGGGUUGCCUACAGAGGCAAGCUCUGUGUGCUGGUUGGGGGCCCACUUUAAAACAAAAAUGCAGUCAGUAGGAAUUCAGAAUAUGGUAAAUAUUUUGAAGGAUGCCGAGGCUUUUGAAAGGCUGAGACUAAUCACGCUUUCUAGUUGAAGGUAUGGCUGCUUCUGUUGCAAAACAUUGAAAUAGAUUAAAUUCAGUUAUCAGACUGUCAUGGUACUUGAAUCAUAAUGCAUUGAUAUAUUCGGAAACAAUCUGGAGAAAUGGGCUGAGAGUGAGAUGACAAUGUUCACUGAUGGGAUCAUCUUAGAGAAAGCAAGCUUGACUGGCAAGGUGCAGAGGGAUCUCACAGUCCUGAGUGACUGGGUGACCAAGUGAUAGCUGAACUUUGUAACCCUGACAAGUGAAAAGACAUGCACAGGAGGCUGUGUAAAUAACUCUAUAAAUAGCUAGUGCAGCAUAGCCAGCAGAUUGAAGAAAGUGAGGUUUCCCCUGUACUUAUUAGACCACACCUGGAACACUGUGUCCAGUUUUGGGCCCCCAGUAUAAGGAAGGCUUUGGUAACUGUGAAUCCAGUGGAGGGCCACCAGGAUGGUGGCAGCUGGAGCGCUUGCCCUGCAAGGACAGGCUGGCGAUCGGGGCCUGUCUAGCCUGGAGAAGAGAUGGCUUUGGGAGUCUUCCAAUAUCUCAUGGCUUUGAGCAGGCUGUUGGGUUCAAUGACCUCCCAAAAUCCAGCCUGAGCUCUUCUAUUAUUCUAUAAUCCUUAGGAAAGUUGGUUCCAGUAAGUAGUUUUAUCUAAACAUCAACUUCAUGGAUGGGAGCAAUCACAAGAAGUAAACAGAACAUUAGGAAUUAUUAGGAAGGGAGCAGAGAAAAAGCAGGAAUUAUCAACAUCAAAUAGUACAAAUACAAGGUGUGCCUGGAUCACGAACAUCAUGUGCAAACCUGUCUCCCACUGAUCAAAAAGGAUAGAAUAGAACUAGAAAACGUAGGUGGAAGGGAAAGAAGGGUAAUUAAGAGCUUGAAAGAGACAGUAAUUCAGCUAGGACUAUUCUUUUUGGAAAGAAGGUAACAGAGGAGGUAUAAUAUAGUAAAUAAAAUCAUGAUUCUCAUGAGAACAUGGAGGGGAAUUAGGUGGCAGGUUCAAAACGGUCAAAGUGAACCAUAUCUGCAUUGUAGACAGGAUGUCUCAAGAAAGCAGCUGGCUUGUGACUGGAUAAGAGAAAAAGGCUGGAUUUUAUACAUGACAUGUUGUCAAGAUUUCCAUGCAAGUUUUUCAGAAAAUGAAGAAAAUCUAAAUAAAAAUAUAUUACAGCAACACUGCUAUUCAAAUGGAUCUGGACAAUGCAUGUAUUUAGCAGUUUACAGGUUUAUUAACGAAUGGCUUCACCUUCA